RNAcentral lists this ribosomal RNA (460 nucleotides) under uncultured bacterium. RNAcentral's name for it is "partial 16S ribosomal RNA". It matches the Rfam family "Bacterial small subunit ribosomal RNA", at positions 338 to 795 of the family's 1533-position model. The record is from RNAcentral.
CCUACGGGUGGCAGCAGUGAGGAAUAUUGGUCAAUGGCCGUAAGGCUGAACCAGCCAAGUAGCGUGAGGGAAGACUGCCCUAUGGGUUGUAAACCUCUUUUAUGCGGGGAUAAAGGUGUCCACGUGUGGAUGUUUGCAGGUACCGCAUGAAUAAGGACCGGCUAAUUCCGUGCCAGCAGCCGCGGUAAUACGGAAGGUCCGGGCGUUAUCCGGAUUUAUUGGGUUUAAAGGGAGCGUAGGCCGGUCUUUAAGCGUGCCGGGAAAUUUUGUGGCUCAACCAUGAGAAUGCGGCGCGAACUGGAGGCCUUGAGUGCGCGGAAGGCAGGCGGAAUUCGUGGUGUAGCGGUGAAAUGCUUAGAUAUCACGAAGAACCCCGAUUGCGAAGGCAGCCUGCCGCAGCGUUACUGACGCUGAAGCUCGAAAGCGCGGGUAUCGAACAGGAUUAGAUACCCCAGUAGUC